This is a long non-coding RNA of Lontra canadensis (Northern American river otter), 909 nucleotides long. RefSeq lists it as uncharacterized. The transcript is spliced from 3 exons. The record is from RefSeq and is a predicted model, not a curated record. NCBI's taxonomy places the organism in Eukaryota, Metazoa, Chordata, Mammalia, Carnivora, Mustelidae.
GUCUUUCCCACACGAGCCAGUUCUCUAAACACACAGAGUGGGCACCGUGUCCAGUGACUGGUCACGCUCUGUGGUCUGGUAUUUACGAAUUUCUAGGAAGUGAGUCCAGGACCGUGUAGAAGACUGCUCAUUAUUUCGCUCAGUAAGCUGAGAUUGCUAUCAGAAGUGAAAGGGAGUUUUUAUUCCUUUUCAAAAAUAUUUUCAUCUAGAAACCACUGGCUACCUGGUAUUUCGAAGGCUUUCCAGUGGUUGAACAUUUACAAGAACGAAUUUGAACCGGUAACUGCUGACUUCCAAAUGCUAAUCAUUACUAAUAUCCUCUGACCUGCAUGAUACUGCCUUUUGUCCAACUUCCUGGUUUCUUUAGCGCUCACGUUUCAGUGGCUUAAUUGUCCUUUUUACAACUGCUCUAAGAAAGGGAAAAAAAAAGAUUUCUUAAUGGUAUUCCCUGGUUUGUGCCAAAGGACUCUAAUCUCCAAGGAGAGAGAACCGUUCUUAGUUUGAGGAAAUGUCAAGAGCUCUUCAAGCCCACAGGAACAGGGGAAGAGGAAGAGGGUGUACCCCAACUGUUACCCCAUAGUUCCAUUCCUGUUUCACUGGUCACAAUCAUGGGGCCUUACUCAGCUUCCUCAGGGACCAGCAUUUUGGGGGGGCCAGUGAAGCCAGGGUGCUGAGUCGUCCAACUGCUGCAGGGACAGGAAAGGAGCAGCGAGCCCUGGGCCUGAGCAGGGACAGCAGCGGACUUUUCUGGAAUGUCUUCCCUUAACCCUGGUUUAACUCCUCUUCGUCCUCUGGAUUCAGGAGCAGCAGCUAAAGGGACCCAGGGAGUCAACUCAACUGGUCUGUCUUCGCUGCCUGUAUUUUUCCCCAACGUUCCUCUUACCUGAUUGUAAUUGUCUUUAUAUUCUA